UUUUGAUGGAAAAACACAUCGGAAAAGGGUGCGUGUUACAUUCACCUCCAUCUUCUGUUUGCACCCUUUAGAAGGCACAAUAUAUCUCUGCCUCAGUUUUGCUGUAAGAAGAAACGUACGGAUGAAAAGACACCACAGAUUUAGACCCGUGUGUCCAGCAGGAAAGGGAGCGCCUGAUAAGACAACAAGCUAUACCUGAACCCCAUUAACCUGUCCUAUAUAUUUCCUAUUGCUUGUAAGUAGCAAAGGAGCCAUGGGACGAGACGAGGAGCUGUGUUCUUACCUAACAAGUAGAAAAGUGCCUCAAAUGAGAAGGAUUACGAUAUUUCUCUUGGCUGCAGAAAUACAGGCUUUCUAUCACUGAAACCUGGUUCUGGUUUGUUUUUUUAUCUUCAAUGCUACUGAAAAGACUUGAAAAGACUUUUUUAAAUGACACUUUUUCUCAUGUAAUAUUGAAAGAUAUUAAAGGUACUUUUUUAAACUGUUACAGUUGAAGUUUCCCAUCCUGAGUAUAAUAAAAAAUGAAUUUGGACAUAAGAUACUUGAGGUUUU
Molecule: long non-coding RNA, 552 nt
Organism: Perca fluviatilis (European perch)
Lineage: Eukaryota; Metazoa; Chordata; Actinopteri; Perciformes; Percidae
Exons: 3
Source: RefSeq, a predicted model, not a curated record